CGAACGCUGGCGGCGUGCCUAAUACAUGCAAGUAGAACGCUGAAGAGAGGAGCUUGCUCUUCUUGGAUGAGUUGCGAACGGGUGAGUAACGCGUAGGUAACCUGCCUUGUAGCGGGGGAUAACUAUUGGAAACGAUAGCUAAUACCGCAUAACAAUGGAUGACACAUGUCAUUUAUUUGAAAGGGGCAAUUGCUCCACUACAAGAUGGACCUGCGUUGUAUUAGCUAGUAGGUGAGGUAACGGCUCACCUAGGCGACGAUACAUAGCCGACCUGAGAGGGUGAUCGGCCCACUGGGACUGAGACACGGCCCAGACUCCUACGGGAGGCAGCAGUAGGGAAUCUUCGGCAAUGGGGGCAACCCUGACCGAGCAACGCCGCGUGAGUGAAGAAGGUUUUCGGAUCGUAAAGCUCUGUUGUAAGAGAAGAACGAGUGUGAGAGUGGAAAGUUCACACUGUGACGGUAACUUACCAGA
This 474-nucleotide ribosomal RNA is filed under the name Streptococcus sp. oral taxon C65. Its description in RNAcentral is "bacterial SSU rRNA". It matches the Rfam family "Bacterial small subunit ribosomal RNA", at positions 30 to 487 of the family's 1533-position model. The record is from RNAcentral. Lineage: Bacteria; Bacillati; Bacillota; Bacilli; Lactobacillales; Streptococcaceae.